RNAcentral lists this non-coding RNA (31 nucleotides) under Mus musculus (house mouse). The record is from RNAcentral. Lineage: Eukaryota; Metazoa; Chordata; Mammalia; Rodentia; Muridae.
UACAAGACAAGAAAGGACCACGCUUAUAAGG